CCUACGGGUGGCAGCAGUGAGGAAUAUUGGUCAAUGGCCGAAAGUCUGAACCAGCCAAGCCGCGUGAGGGAGGAAGGCCCAGUGCGUCGCAGACCUCUUUUGCCGGGGGACAAAACGCCGCACUCGUCCGUUCCUGCGUGUACCCUAUGAAUAAGCAUCGGCUAACUCCGUGCCAGCAGCCGCGGUAAUACGGGGGAUGCGAGCGUUAUCCGGAUUCAUUGGGUUUAAGGGGUGCGAAGGGGGGCCUUUAAGCCGGCGGUGAAAUCGGGGGGCUAAACCCCGCAGAGCCGUCGGAACUGGGGGCCUUGAGUGCGGCGGAGGUAGGCGGAAUGCGCGGUGUAGCGGUGAAAUGCAUAGAUAUCGCGCAGAACCCCGAUUGCGAAGGCAGCGUGCCGUGCCGUGACUGACGCUGAGGCACGAAAGCGCGGGGAUCGAACAGGAUUAGAUACCCCAGUAGUC
This 459-nucleotide ribosomal RNA is filed under the name uncultured bacterium. RNAcentral's name for it is "partial 16S ribosomal RNA". It matches the Rfam family "Bacterial small subunit ribosomal RNA", at positions 338 to 795 of the family's 1533-position model. The record is from RNAcentral.